UAUUUGAUCAUGAUCACGGGCUGACGGGCAUCACGGCAUUUUGUUUGUUUUAAAAGUUAUUAGGUGCAUUAAGUUUACUGUUUUUAUCCUACAUAGCUUCUUAAGCAGCAAACAAGAAAUGACGAAAAAGAGAUGGGCCAACAUUGAACAAAGCAAAAUAGAGAAAUCAGUUGCUUCAUGGCUGCCACAGACACAAUUAAAAUCAAAGACUUAGAAAGGGGCAGGGUGUCAAAGAGCACCUGAAGAACAGGAAGAUGAGGAUCGUGAAGCCGCCGACGCUUGAAUGAUGUGUAAAUAAUGUAUUGUCAGAGUGUCUACGAACCGGGAAAUCUGGGAAUGAACUUAUUUUUUUACUGAAAUGUACUGUUUUUAGUAAAUAUGGGUAAUUUUUAGUGGUAAUUGUCCUUAAAUAAUUGUGUGGGCCAUUUUAAGUAUGAUAUAAAAAUUUGUUAGAAGAACAUAAAAGGUUUUUUAUAAAAUGUUUGCUUACAUUUUCAUCAUUUAUUACUAUGGAGUAAUUAUGCAAUAGAAACCACAUUAGCAGUCUCAAAGCCAUAAAUAUUUUAUCUCGACAAUCACAUCAAGUCAAGUACUUCAAAAAACUUAUGACUCAGUAGCAAAGCUCAUAAAAGUUGUAUCACUGUCAUUCCUUGACAACUUAUUUAUUUAUUACUAGGGUAAUUAUCAUUAGAUCCCAAACCUUUUUGAUCAUGGGAAUAAUAGUUUUAUAUUAGCUGUUAAAUUUAACUUCUUACUUGUACUUUCAUCUUGAAGAUUCAAUUUGCCGCUGGCCGUUGCCUACUCCCUUCAAAGCUGUUUACGGUUUCAUAUUAACCCUCCGAGUGUCAUGCGUCGCUGCAGCGACGCGUAACGCACUUUGUAUAGUGUCGUGCGUCGCUACAGCGACUCGCGAACACUGUUUACGGCGAAGGCUCUAUGACUAACUGAAUCGGACUGUACUGGAUUGAGUUAGGUAUCGUUCUUUCCGUAAUAUUCUAAGCUUUCUCCUAGGUCUGUCUCUAAGCACUAUUCAUUUUAGUUCCGAAAAUAUUGUAGCAGACAGCUGACUGAGCUGACGUGCGUGUAUUCGUAAACAGCUAGGUUACCCUCGGACCGAUGACUGAUGUGUUUUAUUACAUUUAUCAUUGUUUUAGUGUUAAAAAUCAAAAGUAGUGAUAUACGUGGUGCAUUAUAAGAAGAUUUAAGUGGUUUUGAAGUGCUGGUUGAUGAUCCUGAAGAAGUAGGUAGUGAUAUUGAUGUAAAUUAUCAGCCAGAUUCCUAGCUAUGGUUGGGCUAUGCAUUCUUAGCUAAACGCUAUGUACUGAAAUCUGUUUUUUGCCCAUAACUUAUUUAUUUGCAAAUCUACUUCCUUAUAUUAUUAUAUAUUUGUAAUCCUCAUAAAAUUUAGAACAAAGUGGCUAUUUUCAAAUAUUUAUAGGCCUAUAAUUUAUACAAUUUCAUUGAGCGCAAACUUAUUUUUUUUUUUUUAAUUUUCGAAAUUAUACAUUUUUUUUACCUAAAAAUUUUUUUUUUUAAAAAUCUUCCUUAUGUUUUAUAUAUAAUAUUGAAGCCCAAGAUUUUCCAAACAAAAUGGUAUAUAGAACAGUAUAAUUAACAUUGUUUUUAAGCUUCUCAGAUCAGUUUUAAUAAAAUCUUGCAAAUGAGCAAAAAAUAGGCUGACAUUAAGGCCAAAACACGUGACACUCGGAGGGUUAAACUUCGAAUUAAUAUACAGUGUUAUUUUAUAAGUUAAAUCCUCUUUUAUGGACAUUUUAUCUUUCAAUUGACAAAACCACGAGCAUUGUUGUUUGCAUUAAUUUUUUAUCAUAACACAGUCCUACUUGGUCUCAAAAAAAUCAUGUCCUUGCAUUUCAUGUAUCUUUGUCUUUUAUUGUUGGCUGUUUGGGUUUCAAUAUUUUUUUGUUCCUCAUAUUUAUUUAUUGAGUUGUAUGCGUUAAGCAAUCUAAAUCUUAUAAACAAGAAUGAUGAUAAUUUGCUGCUAUUAUAACCUCAUUGUUUGUUACUUAGUUUGUACAAGCCCUCCUAAAUAAUUAGGUCUAGGCCUAGGCAAACUAAUGAUUGCUAUAUAUGAAUGUUAAAUUUGCAAUUGAAAAGAUAAUAAUUUAUUCUGUGCUGGCUGGUAGAGUACUUAAAGUUUGUCCAUGAAUAUUUUAUUUUUAUAUCCAUGCACCCAUUUCUAUUUUCCAGAAUGUAGUAGACUGUGUUUUUAUUAUUUCUCUACUUUUUUUUAAUUUGUUUACUUCAAAUAGAAGAAUUUCAGUAUA
Molecule: long non-coding RNA, 2285 nt
Organism: Macrosteles quadrilineatus (aster leafhopper)
Lineage: Eukaryota; Metazoa; Arthropoda; Insecta; Hemiptera; Cicadellidae
Exons: 3
Source: RefSeq, a predicted model, not a curated record